UGGAUCGAAGCAUUUCUCUAGGCC
This 24-nucleotide non-coding RNA is filed under the name Arabidopsis thaliana (thale cress). The record is from RNAcentral. Lineage: Eukaryota; Viridiplantae; Streptophyta; Magnoliopsida; Brassicales; Brassicaceae.